AGGCUGUAAGACCUGAGCCGGGCGGAGAAGCAAAGGAGAGGGAAGCUGGAAGCACCUUUGGCCCGGGACAGAAAUCUGGAGAGCUUGGCUACCUCCAUCCUCCUCAGGCCGGAGCAGGCUUCCUGAGAGAGUCCAGGUCGUAGGAGUUUUACGACUUAGAAAAGCGGGCUGCAGAUUCCUUCCUGGGUGUUUGGUUCAAGCCUUGGCUCCAGCCUCACUCUCAGUCUUCCCGGGAGUUCGUGGGAUUUGGACCUUAGAUUAUUAGUAUUAUUUUGAGGGCCUCCUGUGUGUAAGCACUGGUUGUGCGCAGAUGGCUGUGCAGAGGGCCAUGAGGUAGAGGCUGGGGAAAUGAGGGCUUGGAGGUGCUUGAGGUAUGGUCUUUACCUACGUGAAAUGUUGGAGGUAAGCCUAUGUUUUCUUGGAUGUGAAACUAGGGCACUGGGUUGCUCUUAGGUAAUACAAGGAGAUGAAAUGCAGCGAUGCGAUGAUGAGUGAAGUAGAGCCUGACCUGGUAUUGCCAUUGCUUCACUGUUGGCUUUGACCAGGGUAUGAUCUCUUAAUCUUCUCUCUGAGCUGAUUCUGAUUGUGGUUUUUCCACACAGGUGUGUUGUAUCCUGUUUGGACACUGGUUUUAUUAUGUUUAAGAUGUUUCUUUUAUUUUCUUUUGAAUUACUGAUAUUCUCAUGUUUUCCUCC
Molecule: long non-coding RNA, 695 nt
Filed under: Homo sapiens (human)
Lineage: Eukaryota; Metazoa; Chordata; Mammalia; Primates; Hominidae
Description: non-protein coding LINC02001:11
Rfam family: Z30 small nucleolar RNA (bases 480-576)
Source: RNAcentral